ACUGAGGAUUUGGAAUAACAACAAACAAAAAAAAUGCCACAAGUUGAGGGUGGGGUAAUUUAAGGCUGGGAAGUUUUAUGCAGAAUCCGACACGAAUCAUUUACCGUUAGGGAAAUUUUUGAAAGAUUUUCCACCAUUGCCCACAUUGGUUCAGGUUGGCCCUGAAGAGAUGGAGAGUUCCAGGGGGCCUCGUUUUACAGUACAUUACUUUUCUUACAGCAUUUUUCCUGAAAGAAAGUAUCCCUCAUUCAAGAAGC
Mauremys reevesii (Reeves's turtle) is the source of this 257-nucleotide long non-coding RNA. RefSeq lists it as uncharacterized. NCBI's taxonomy places the organism in Eukaryota, Metazoa, Chordata, Testudines, Geoemydidae. The transcript has 3 exons. The record is from RefSeq and is a predicted model, not a curated record.